Molecule: ribosomal RNA, 406 nt
Filed under: uncultured bacterium
Lineage: Bacteria
Description: partial 16S ribosomal RNA
Rfam family: Bacterial small subunit ribosomal RNA
Source: RNAcentral
AUUGAACGCUGGCGGCAGGCCUAACACAUGCAAGUCGAGCGAGCGGCGGACGGGUGAGUGUUGUCUGGGAAACUGCCUGAUGGGGGGGGAUAACUACUGUAAACGGUAGCUAAUACCGCGUACCAUCAUAGGUGCCCAGAUGUGAUUAGCUAGUAGGUGGGGUAAUGGCUCACCUAGGCGACGAUCCCUAGCUGGUCUGAGAGGAUGACCAGCCACACUGGAACUGAGACACGGUCCAGACUCCUACGGGAGGCAGCAGUGGGGAAUAUUGCACAAUGGGCGCAAGCCUGAUGAAGCCAUGCCGCGUGUGUGAAGAAGGCCUUCGGGUUGUAAAGCACUUUCAGCGGGGAGGCGUUACCCGCAGAAGAAGCACCGGCUAACUCCGUGCCAGCAGCCGCGGUAAUAC